UCUAAUGCUUUACAGGAACAUAUGUGCCUGU
RNAcentral lists this non-coding RNA (31 nucleotides) under Rattus norvegicus (Norway rat). Lineage: Eukaryota; Metazoa; Chordata; Mammalia; Rodentia; Muridae. The record is from RNAcentral.